Molecule: ribosomal RNA, 254 nt
Filed under: uncultured bacterium
Lineage: Bacteria
Description: partial 16S ribosomal RNA
Rfam family: Bacterial small subunit ribosomal RNA
Source: RNAcentral
UACAGAGGGUGCAAGCGUUGUUCGGAAUUAUUGGGCGUAAAGAGCUCGUAGGCGGUUUGUUGCGUCGGCUGUGAAAUCCCGAGGCUCAACCUCGGGUCUGCAGUCGAUACGAGCAAACUAGAGUGUUGCAGGGGAGACUGGAAUUCCUGGUGUAGCGGUGAAAUGCGCAGAUAUCAGGAGGAACACCGGUGGCGAAGGCGGGUCUCUGGGCAACAACUGACGCUGGAGGAGCGAAAGCGUGGGGAGCGAACAGG